Molecule: ribosomal RNA, 282 nt
Filed under: uncultured bacterium
Lineage: Bacteria
Description: partial 16S ribosomal RNA
Rfam family: Bacterial small subunit ribosomal RNA
Source: RNAcentral
AAAGCUUGCUUCUUUGCUGGCGACCGGCGCACGGGUGAGUAACACGUAUCCAACCUACCCUUUACUCGGGGAUAGCCUUUCGAAAGAAAGAUUAAUACCCGAUAGCAUAAUGAUUCCGCAUGGUUUCAUUAUUAAAGGAUUCCGGUAAAGGAUGGGGAUGCGUUCCAUUAGGUUGUUGGUGGGGUAACGGCCCACCAAGCCUUCGAUGGAUAGGGGUUCUGAGAGGAAGGUCCCCCACAUUGGAACUGAGACACGGUCCAAACUCCUACGGGAGGCAGCAUG